CGCGUAGGCGGUCUGCUAAGCGUGUGGUGAAAGCCCGGGGCUCAACCCCGGGUCGGCCAUGCGAACUGGUGGACUCGAGCACUGUAGAGGCAGGUGGAAUUCCGGGUGUAGCGGUGGAAUGCGUAGAGAUCCGGAAGAACACCGGUGGCGAAGGCGGCCUGCUGGGCAGUAGCUGACGCUGAGGCGCGACAGCGUGGGGAGCAAACAGGAUUAGAUACCCGCGUA
Molecule: ribosomal RNA, 225 nt
Filed under: uncultured Gemmatimonas sp.
Lineage: Bacteria; Pseudomonadati; Gemmatimonadota; Gemmatimonadia; Gemmatimonadales; Gemmatimonadaceae
Description: partial 16S ribosomal RNA
Rfam family: Bacterial small subunit ribosomal RNA
Source: RNAcentral